GAUUGAACGCUGGCGGCAGGCCUAACACAUGCAAGUCGAGCGGAUGAAUGGAGCUUGCUCCUGGAUUCAGCGGCGGACGGGUGAGUAAUGCCUAGGAAUCUGCCUGGUAGUGGGGGAUAACGUCCGGAAACGGGCGCUAAUACCGCAUACGUCCUGAGGGAGAAAGUGGGGGAUCUUCGGACCUCACGCUAUCAGAUGAGCCUAGGUCGGAUUAGCUAGUUGGUGGGGUAAAGGCCUACCAAGGCGACGAUCCGUAACUGGUCUGAGAGGAUGAUCAGUCACACUGGAACUGAGACACGGUCCAGACUCCUAAGGGAGGCAGCAGUGGGGAAUAUUGGACAAUGGGCGAAAGCCUGAUCCAGCCAUGCCGCGUGUGUGAAGAAGGUCUUCGGAUUGUAAAGCACUUUAAGUUGGGAGGAAGGGCAGUAAGUUAAUACCUUGCUGUUUUGACGUUACCAACAGAAUAAGCACCGGCUAACUUCGUG
RNAcentral lists this ribosomal RNA (485 nucleotides) under uncultured bacterium. RNAcentral's name for it is "partial 16S ribosomal RNA". It matches the Rfam family "Bacterial small subunit ribosomal RNA", at positions 27 to 507 of the family's 1533-position model. The record is from RNAcentral.